AUUGAACGCUGGCGGCAUGCCUUACACAUGCAAGUCGAACGGCAGCACGGGAGCAAUCCUGGUGGCGAGUGGCGAACGGGUGAGUAAUAUAUCGGAACGUGCCCAGUCGUGGGGGAUAACGUAGCGAAAGCUACGCUAAUACCGCAUACGAUCUACGGAUGAAAGCGGGGGAUCGCAAGACCUCGCGCGAUUGGAGCGGCCGAUAUCAGAUUAGCUAGUUGGUGGGGUAAAAGCUCACCAAGGCGACGAUCUGUAGCUGGUCUGAGAGGACGACCAGCCACACUGGAACUGAGACACGGUCCAGACUCCUACGGGAGGCAGCAGUGGGGAAUUUUGGACAAUGGGCGAAAGCCUGAUCCAGCAAUGCCGCGUGCAGGACGAA
This 382-nucleotide ribosomal RNA is filed under the name uncultured bacterium. RNAcentral's name for it is "bacterial SSU rRNA". It matches the Rfam family "Bacterial small subunit ribosomal RNA", at positions 30 to 412 of the family's 1533-position model. The record is from RNAcentral.